CCCAAUGGUCACGGCGUCUGGCUACGAACCAGAAGAUUCCAGGUUCAAGUCCUGGCGGGGAAG
RNAcentral lists this transfer RNA (63 nucleotides) under Saccharomyces cerevisiae YJM975. RNAcentral's name for it is "partial tRNA-Arg". It matches the Rfam family "tRNA", at positions 11 to 71 of the family's 71-position model. From Rfam's summary of the family: Transfer RNA (tRNA) molecules are approximately 80 nucleotides in length. Their secondary structure includes four short double-helical elements and three loops (D, anti-codon, and T loops). Lineage: Eukaryota; Fungi; Ascomycota; Saccharomycetes; Saccharomycetales; Saccharomycetaceae. The record is from RNAcentral. RNAcentral also lists the same sequence under 3 other names.